AGCAGCCGCGGUAAUUCCAGCUCCAAUAGCGUAUAUUAAAGUUGUUGCAGUUAAAAAGCUCGUAGUUGGAUUUCGGGAUUGGCGCAUCGGUCGUGCCUCACGGGGUAUGAACUGGUGCAGUCAAUUUCUCACCUUCUGGAGAACCGCGAUGUCCUUAAUUGGAUGCCGCGGGGAACCAGGACCUUUACUUUGAAAAAUUAGAGUGUUUAAAGCAGGCAUUUUUGCUUGAAUACAUUAGCAUGGAAUAAUAAAAUAGGACGGCAUGGUUCUAUUUUGUUGGUUUCUAGGACCACCGUAAUGAUUAAUAGGGAUAGUUGGGGGCAUUAGUAUUCAAUUGUCAGAGGUGAAAUUCUUGGAUUUAUUGAAGACUAACUACUGCGAAAGCAUUUGCCAAGGAUGUUUUCAUUAAUCAAGAACGAAAGUUAGGGGAUCGAAGACGAUCAGAUACCGUCGUAGUCUUAACCAUAAACUAUGCCGACUAGGAAUCAGACGAUGUUAAUUUUUAAUGACUCG
Molecule: ribosomal RNA, 513 nt
Filed under: uncultured Entrophosporaceae
Lineage: Eukaryota; Fungi; Glomeromycota; Glomeromycetes; Entrophosporales; Entrophosporaceae
Description: SSU rRNA
Rfam family: Eukaryotic small subunit ribosomal RNA
Source: RNAcentral